RNAcentral lists this long non-coding RNA (8967 nucleotides) under Homo sapiens (human). RNAcentral describes it as "non-protein coding lnc-DRD5-4:9". The record is from RNAcentral. Lineage: Eukaryota; Metazoa; Chordata; Mammalia; Primates; Hominidae.
GUAUACCUCCACUAGGGGCUCUAAGCAUAUUACUGGCCGUAGAAGUGGUAGAAAAGGAAUAUAUGCCCAAUAUAAUUGUUUCAGCAGUUACUGGGGGGGGGGGGGGUGGGGGGAGUACUCAUAGCAAUGGUGAGCACAGCCGUCAUAGCUAUUAUUAGAUUAUUCAUCAUAGCUGGUCAUUCCGCCACCUUCAGAUUUUCUUCUCCCAUCUUUGUCAACUUCUUGAUGUGGCCCCAGACUAUUGAGACAAGCUGUGGAAGGGCCAAUGAGUUUUGCCACCCAUCCCCUACCUCUAAAAUGGGCAAAUCAGUGUCUUCAUGAAGGAAGGAAGCUUAAAGCACUUAAUAUGAAAUAAGGACAUUACCAGAUAAAAGAGAACUGAGAAUUUGUUGUCAGCAUCCCCAUACUAUAAGAAAUGCCAGCGUAGUUUCUUCAGGUUGAAGGGAAAGAAUACCAGAGGAAAACUUGAAUCUUCAGGAAGGAAUGGCAUCAUUGGAAAUGACUAUUAUGCUGAUCCAUUAUAUUGAUGAUAUCAUGAAGAUAUGAGGUAAAAAGGAGAAAACAGUGAAGAAUGGUGGAAGCCUUAAGGUAUAUGUGCACCAGUGGGCAGAAGAAAUCCCUACAGAAUUUCAGCAGCCGGCCAAAAUGAUUUUCUACCAAAUAAAAAAAGGUGACCUUCACUCUUCAAAAUUAUCAAAAGAAGAAUGAGGAACUGUUCCAGAUUAAAGACAUGACAACCAAACAACGUGAUUCUGUACUGGAUCCUUCACUGAGCUGGGGGUAAGGGGAGCUAGAGCAGACAUUGAGACAAUUGAUGGACAUUUGAUUAAAAACUAUGAAUUAGAUAAUAUCAGUAUUAACUUCCCUGGGUUUCCUAAUUGUACUGUGGUUAUAUAAGAGAACAUUCCUAUUCUUCGGUAAAAGGACACCGAGCCAUAAUUCAUUUUCCAAGCUUUCAUUAGGAAUUGAGUUCUCGACCACCUGGAACAUUUUCCCUGGGCAUUUGUGGGUGUUUAUCUUAGAGGAUAUGCUGCUUUUGGUGGGUUUGUGGCUUAGGAAAGAACCCACCUGGAACCAGGUCUCCUGGGGCCAUAACGCCCUGCUCUGCUUAGCAUCCUGUAGCCAGGCUGGAUUCUCAACUCUUUGUAAAUCUCAGUCAUCUUUCUCUGCUACUCUCAUUUCCAAAGUGGAGAUAAAUAAUAGCACCCACUGGUCGGGCGCGGUGGCUCACGCCUGUAAUAAUCCCAGCACUUUGGGAGGCCGAGGCGGGCGGAUCACCUGAGGUCAAGAGUUCGAGACCAGCCUGGCCAACAUAGUGAAACCCCGUCUCUACUAAAAAUACAAAAGUUAGCCGGGCGUGGUGGCAGGCACCUGUAAUCCCAGCUACUCUGGAGCCUGAGGCAGGAGAAUCGCUUGAACCCUGGAGGCGGAGGUUGCAGUGAGCGGAGAUCGCGCCAUUGUACUCCAGCCUGGGGGACAAGAGCGAGACUUCGUGGAAAACAAACAAAAACAAAAACAAAAAACACCAAAAAACAGAACCCACUACAGAGUUUUGCUCUAAGGAUGAAAUGAGAUGAAUAAAUGUAAUGCAAGUGGAAAAAAAAAAAAGGAGCUGGGCGUGGGCGGGGCCGCAGGGCCCGGGAGCUGGGUGUGGGUGGGGCGGGAGUGCGUGCCUUGCCUUGCGUGCCAGGCUAUGGAGGGAGGCGUGGCAGAUGUGGGGCGGAGCCUGAGCGUGCCUGCGUGGCACCACUCGGGGAAGCGGAGGCUAUUCCCUGGAGGAAGGAUGGGAGACUAUCAGGCUGUGGAGGAGACUGCCUUUAUUGUUGAAGUGAGCAACACUGUAAAAGAGGCUAUAGAAAGUGUAAUUGGGGCUGGGCGCGGUGGCUCACGCCUGUAAUCCCAGCACUUUGGGAGGCCAAGGCAGGCGGAUCACAAGGUCAGGAGUUCAAGACCAGCCUGGCCAACACGGUGAAAUCCCAUCUCCACUGAAAAUACAAAAAUUAGCCAGGCGUGGUGGUGGGCACUUGUAGUCCCAGCUACUCGUCGGGAGGCUGAGGCAGGAGAAUCGCUUGAACCUGGGAGGCGGAGGUUGCAGUGAGCCGAGAUUGCGCCAUUGCACUCCAGCCUGGGUGACAGAGCAAGACUGUCUCAAAAAAAAAAAAAAAAAAAAAAAAAAUCGCAGUUGGUGGUAAUGCUUAUCAACACAGCAAAGUGAACCAGUGGACCACAAAUGUAGAACAAACUUUAAGCCAACUCCCCAAGCUGGGAAAACCAUUUAAAUACAUUGUGACCUGUGUAAUUAUUCAAAAGAACGGAGCUGGAUCAUACAUGGCAAGUUCCUGCUUUUGGGACAGCUCUACUGACGGGAGCUACACUGUGCGAUGGGAGAAUAAGACCAUGUACUGCAUUGUCGGCGCCUUCGGACUGUCUAUUUGACCUCCCAGUCCAUCCUAUAACCUUUCUGCUUUUGUCUCUAGUUCAUCUUCUAACCACUAGCCAUGAAUUCAAUGAACUCCUUUCUCAUUUUCUUUAAGUGUGUUUUGUGGCACUCUGAAAAACCAGAUGACUGCACUGUGAUGUGAACUGCACUGAAGUCAGAUGAGUAUCCCUGUAGGUCACCUGCAGCCUGCAUUGCCACUUGUCUUAACUCUGAAUAUUUCUUUUCAAAGGUGCUAAAAUCUGAAAUCUGCUAGUGUGAAACAUGCUCUACUCUCUGAAAUCGUUCAAAUACAUGAAUUUUCCAUACUUUAUACUUUUGUUAGAAUAAAUUGUUCAAAUCUUUAAAAAAUGAGUUGAUUACUUUUAGGUUCUUUCAGCAAAAGCUGUCCAGAUCGGGCUGUUGCCACACUCCAAAGGACUCUGACAUCACACCCUUCCCUGACUUCUGCCCCUGCCUUGUUCUCUUUCUCAGUUUUGUUUGGGAGCACAUCUUUAAUAAACAACUUGCACAUCCUCAUCACAGGCUCUCAUUCUGGAAACCCAAACCAAGAUCUUCCUAAGCUUAUUCUACCCUAGGUGCUCAGCAGAUGUGGAUUCUCAUACCUAAGGCCCUCUCUCCUCCUCCUGGACAUGGUGAGGAGUAGAGGGUAGGAAGGCAACAGAGCCCUGGAUUUCUGUGCAGUUCCCAACUGCCAACAUUGUCAAGUCCACAUCUCAUAUUCCCUGUGCUUGUAAGUGACAGUUUAAUAUCAAUUUUAUUUUUCAAGGAAUAACUGUUUACAAGAGGUGGAACCCUUGCCGGUCAAAAAAUGUAUAGGUGAUCUUAGGGCAAGAAACCUUUCUUUCAGGCACUUAAUAGGAUACUUACAGGCAGAAGCUUCCUGAGAGUGUCAUGCUCUGGGAACCAAGAGACCUAAGGUCCAGACCUGAUUCUAUCAAGGCCUCAUGGUAUGAGCUGGAGGCCCAUGGAAUAUAAAUGACUAAUCUCCAUAUCUGCAAAGUGAGGGUACUUGGACUCAUACACUUUCGAGAAUUCAAAGAAUAGAGACUCUUCCCAGAAAAAAAAAAUCCAUUGUGCACAAAUAUUUUGCAUUCAAUUUCAAGGGUUUCUAAAUAGAUCCCACUGAAGUCCAUCACUGGAUCCUUUACUAGAUUAUUUCUAAUUAUCUUAAUAGUGCUCGCAUUUUAUAUUUGUUUUCUCAAGUCUAUAACUGAGACCCAUGUAAUCAAGGACAGACUGAGAAUGCUUGAGUAAGUAUAAAUUCUUCUGAAGCAUGAGGAUCAGAACUGUUUUUAAUUUGGUUUCUUUGUGGAGCAAAGAUGCCAUUUACUGCCAAGAAGAAAAUAUGUGUUUUAAAAAUAAAUUCUCCUACAUUCUAGGAGAAAACAUCUGGGAACAGCAUACAUCUUAUGUCCUUGGUGGGGAAUAUGUUAUCUUUCUAGUAGAAUGAAGUUGGAAUCUCACAAGAAAAGAUUCCAAUCCCAGCUCUAUCACUUAGCAGAUUUGAUGAUGAGCAAGAAUAAUAACUCAGAUUCAAAGUAAUUUUACCGUUAAAAUGGAAAAAAAACCCUUAUGCCCUCCUUAUAGGGCUAUAUUGGUGAUGAAGUUAAAUGAGACAAUACUCAUACAUUCUUUGGCAUGUUAUUCUCCUCUGUUUCACUCUAGUUUCUGUUCCUCUUCCUGUCUUAAAGGGUGGUAUUCUCUGAAUUCUUUCAUCCUUGACUCAAUCUUAUCUAUACUGUCCUUCAGUUUUAACUUCAAGGGUGGCUGAUGACUUCAAGUGUUGACCUUCAACCUUGUCCUGUCCCUCCACGUUCUGCUGUCAUAUAAUCAGAUGGGAUGUUUUCCCAUGGAGUGGGUUUCUGUGCUUUGGCCUAUUCACUAGACAAAUCUAUUUUGGUAAUGGAACUGCUCUUCUUUUCAGAGAUUUCCCUGACCAUACUUCCUCCCACCAGCAGGAAGGACAUAUAAUCCAGAAUCACUGUUCAGAUUAUCUCUUCCCAUCCACUCACUAAUUUUCCAGGGGGCAGAUAUAUGAGCCCAGUGGGGGCUGUUCAAGUUCCUUCCCAAGAGUUGAUGUGGUUGCUAAGAGCCAAGCCUCUUCAGCUUGUCAGAUCGGAAGCUUGUUGAUCGGAAAAUAAAGCAUGUCAAUUGUUAUCACCACCAUAAAGAGUGAGCCCAAGGGUGCUACAAAAGGAAAUUCAAGCUGAGAGAAUGAAAGAAAAAUUCUGAUUGUAGUUGAGUCCUGGAAUCCAGCUGUAACAGGUGGAGGUACUAAUGUUCACUUAGUCAUUCCAACAGAAAACCUGGAGUCAUCCUUAACUCUUCCUCCUCCUCCUCUUCCAUCAUGCCUACACCCAUUAUAUCCACCAGUCCUACUGUUCUUUAGUAUUUCUCAAAUUGUCUCACUCUUCUCCAUCUGAGCUCCCACCAUCCUCAUUCAUACACUCUCCUUCCUGGGUUACCAUUAGAUCUUACUAGUCUUUUUGUCUCUGAUCUUGUUACUCUCAUGUUACUGUGGUGUGAGACCAAAGAGAAUAAAUUUACAUAAAACACAUCUGGCCAUGGCAUGUAUCUGUUUAAACGUCUUCUGAGAUCCUGUUACCCCAGGAUAACAUUCAGUCUCUUCACAUGAUACAUAAAAUGUUUCAUGUGGCCUGGCGUGGUGGCUCAUGCCUGUAAUCCCAGUAUUUUGGGAGGCCGAGGCGGGUGGAUCGCCUGAGGUCAGGAGUUUGAGACCAGCCUGGCCAACAUGGUGAAACCCCGUCUCUACUAAAAAUACAAAAAUUAGCUGGGUGUAGUGGUGGGCGCCUGUAAUCCCAGCUAGAAUCACUUGAACCCGGAAGGCAGAGGUUGCAGUGAGCCGAGACUGUGCCAUUGCACUCCAGCCUGGGCAACAAGAGCGAAACUCCGUCUCAAAAAAAAAAAAAGUUUCAUGUAUCUUUAGCUGCUCUCUGCUUCCCACAUUACCAUCUGGAAACAGCACUCUUUGUAGUCAUUACCCACUAGUGAUAUGCUGUCACCCACAUUUGGUACCUUUGCUCAUCACUUUGGGAGAGCAGUGUAGCUUGUUGCUAUUAAAAAAUGAGGCUUUAGAAUCAUACUGACCUGAGUUCAAAUCCUCAUUCUGAUGUGUACCACCUACUGCUUGGGCAAGCUACUUAACUUUUACAGCCUUAUUGUUAGAUUUGAAAAAUAGGGAUGCUGAUAGUAGCGGUUUCAUUGAGCACAGUAUCAUCUGAGUUAAGAUUGCAUGAAAAGCACUUAAGACAGUAUCAGAAGGCAGCAAGGCCUGGUAGAUGUUGGACAUUUUUUUGUUGUUUGUAUUUCCUUUGCCUAGAAUGCUCUUAUUGCUGACUUUGUCCCACUAUUCAUUUUGCUGGCUCACUGCUGCACAACCUCUGACUUGGCUCAGAUAUCAUCUCUUCCAAAGGCAUCCUUGGGUGGGGGAGUCUGCAUCUGUUACCCUAGGCUCAUCACUCUCAUUGCUCUUAGCAUAUGUAUCAGACUUACCUUCUCAUCUAUUCUGAGUUCCUUGAGGGCCAUGUCAUAAUGUUUGCAUCUCCAUUUCCUAACAAUUUUUGGAUUGAAUUGAAUAGAAAUGUUAUCUUCCUCCUCAGCCUCCAGUGGGGAGCAGGAGAGAACUAAGCAGCAACCAUGUUAAUUUCCUUGAAUUCUUUUGCAUGCUGUUUUUCAUUAUUUUUCUCAAUACACAUAAUUUAAAGCCAUUCUACCUGUCUGCUUUUAUCCUGUUAGUCUCUGACAGGUGAGAUAUUAGGAGAGACAGGAUGUGUGAAUACAAGUAAGUAGAAACAAUUUGACAAACGUUCUCUUCCUUCCAAGAAAAGCAUCUCUUUUCCUGUUUUUCUCUGGCCUUGGAAUGAUGGAUUGUAAAAAUCGAAUCAACAUCUCCUUUUAUUACAACACAUUAGCUAGGCCCAGCCGAAGAUUUAUAGCUUUCUGUAAAAACAGAGUCUAGGGGAAUGUUAAAUACUCAGUUUUUACCAUCCUUUCUGCUUUUCACCCCCACCCCAAUCCUGUGGGAAUAGAUGGUCAAUACAUGGUGCUUAGGUAGUUACAAAGUCUAGGAGUUACUGAGUCGGAACUAGAUGCCCAGGAGAAAAGGCUGGUUAGCUUAGUUUGUUUCAUGAGUCAGACUUCCAAAAGUGGUUUGGUUAUUAUUCUAUCUUUUAAAUAUGGGGUCUCGUUAUAUUGCCCAGGCUGGUCUCAAACUCCUGGGCUCAAGUGAUUCUUUCACCUCAACCUCAUGAGCAGCUGCAAUUACAAGUGUGAGCCACUGCACCUGGCUAGCUUGGUUUAUAUGAAAAAGCAGUGAGUUUGGAAAUGGUUGAAUCUGUCCUUUUUAUAGGCAGAGCAACCAGGACUCAAGAAGUUUAACAUUCACUAGCUGGGUGAUCCUGGGGAGAUUAUUUUCCUUAAGUGCUAUUGAAAGGAGAAAAUCAUAUAAGGUCCAUGUAACACUUAUCAGAGUGCUGGCGCACAGGAGCACCUAACACUUUUUUUUGUGUACACCUAGUAACUGAAAAGAGUGGUCCUAACAUGUCACUGCCAGUUCCCCUUUUAGGUUUUAUUUCCCGUAAGGUUUUAUUACCCGCAUUCCUCACAUUUUUACAUGGAGAAGGGACUUUCUGUUCUACUAUCCAGAAGUAUAUGAAGAGCACUUCCAGCUCUCUUCCUUGUGAACUUUGCUUUGGCUCAGAGGAGGAGUAAAGGGGUCCCAUCCUGUUUGGGUAAUGAGCUGAGCCUGUGUGGCUGCUCACCAGGGUGAUCAUUCUUUUGUGGGUUCCCCCAACCCACAGGAUGUGUGUUGUCUCCUACUCCCUUUUGUGGGGCACUAACAGGGCCCCGCUGAUUCUGUAAAGAAGACUUUGAUGUCCUGCAGGCUCAGUGACUGGAUGGCAGCUAUCUAUAGCAUGUGAAAUCUCAAGAGGCUUAUUAUGACCACAUGUGUCAACUGUGUUCUCCAAUCUAGUUGCCAGAAAUGAAAUUAAGGUAUUUAACUCCGUCUGACUUCUGUGUUAUUCCUUGGUUGAUUUCCUAAUUUGGGAGUAGACAGAAAAGUUGAAGGCGCUAGGCCCAUUGCUCAUGCCUGUAAUCCCAGCACUUGGGGAGACUGAGAUGGCAGGAUCACUUGAGCUCAGGAAGUCCAGACCAGCCUAGACAACAUAAUGUAGACCCCAUCUCCACACACACACACACACACACACACACACUCACGUGCACGUGCAAAAAAUUGGCCAGGCAUGGCUGUGCAUGUCUGUAGUCCCAGCUACUCAAAAGGCUGAGGUAGGGGGUUUGCCUGAGCCCAGGAAGUCGAGGCUGCAGUAAGCCAUGAUCACACCACUGCAUUCUAGCCUGGGUGACAGAACACGAGUUAAGAAAAAAAAAAAAUGUUGAAGGCUAAUGUAUUAGUCCAUUCUCACGCUGCUAUGAAGAAACGAAGAAAUACCCAAGACUGGGAUAAUUUAUAAAGGAAAGAGGUUUAAUUGACUCACAGUUCUGCAGGGCUAGAGAGGCCUCAGGAAACUUACAAUCAUGGCAGAAAGGGACACAAACACAUCCUUCCUCACAUGGCAGCAGCAAAGAGAAGAGACAAGAGGGGUGAAAAGCCCCUUAUAAAACCAUCAGAUCUCAUGAGAACUCACUAUCAUGAGAACAGCAUGGCGGUAACUGCCCCCAUGAUUCAAUUACCUCCCACUGGAUCCCUCUUAUGACACAUGAGAAUUAUGGGAACUAUAAGAUUAAAUUUGGGUGGGGACACAGCCAAACCGUAUCAGCUAACUAAUGUUAAUAUCUUGUAAGAUCUUGAUCCAUUGGCCAGAUGUGUUGAGAGAGAAAUUCUGGUGGCUGGGAACACAACUAAUAAGGAGUCAGAUCAAGGCUUUGGGCCUUGCCAGGGCCCCAAACCUCAAAUAUUAGUACAAGAGCAGUUGGUGGAUCAUGGAAGCAUCUUUCUCCAUUGCUCAUGAUGAACAACUGUUUCUACUUGGUCAAGCUGAUUAGGACUUAGGAAGCAGGGCCCUGUGAUGCUCUAGCACUGACCUGAACUGACUCGGGCAUGUGUAGUCAUUCCGUUGGCAAAGGACGGCUCAGGCGAAAAUAAUAGGAAAAGUGUGUUUGAGCUUUGGUUAAGGCUCCAUUCCAAAGAGGCAAAUCUUUCCAGUGCGGCUGACUUGACUUUGGUGGAUGUUGCUAUUUUUCUUGUUUCUUAGCCAAAUUUGCAGGCCAGGACUUUAAUCUGCAAAGACAGCUGUAUUUCUUGCGGGGCUCAAGGCAUUCCUGUAGGCUUCUUGCAAGUCAUAUGAAGUUAGCCUCAGACCACCUGCCUCAAAUUCAGUUACUACUUGUGCUGUUUACAGAUAGCAUCCAGAGCCAAGUUAGAUAGCUAAGAAAAUAAGCAAAUGAAAUGCAAGUACUUUGUUUAGAUCUUAAUUUGAACAAUACAUUUUGAGACAAUUAGGGAUAUUUGAAUAUAGAUUGGGUAUUAGACAAUAACAAAGAGUUAU